AGAGUUUGAUCCUAGCUCAGGAUGAACGCUGGCGGCGUGUCUAAGGCAUGCAAGUCAAACGGGCUCGCAAGAGUACCGUGGCAAACGGGUGCGUAACACAUUGGUAACCUACCUCCGAGACGGUCAUAACCCGGCGAAAGCCGGGCUAAUAGCCGAUACAUUCCCGACCCACAUGGGUUGGGACGAAAGUCGCAAGACACUUGGAGAGGGGCCUAUGGUCUAUCAGCUAGUUGGUGGGGUAAUGGCUCACCAAGGCUACGACGGAUAGCGGGUGUGAGAGCACGACCCGCCUCAGGGGAACUGAGACACUGUCCCCACUUCUACGGAAGGCUGCAGUCAAGAAUAUUCCUCAAUGGACGAAAGUCUGAAGGAGCGACGCCGCGUGCAGGAAGAAGCCCCUCGGGGUGUAAACUGCUUUUAUUUGGGACGAAUUCUGACGGUACCAAAUGAAUAAGAGGUUCCUAACUCUGUGCCAGCAGGAGCGGUAAUACAGAGACCUCAAGCGUUAUCCGGAUUUACUGGGCGUAAAGGGUCCGCAGGUGGUUUUGAAAGUCUUUCGUAAAAUGGCGACGCUCAACGUCGUCACUGCGGGAGAUACUUCAAAGCUCGAGGCCGGGAGGGGCAAACGGAAUUGCCGGUGUAGUAGUAAAAUGCGUUUAUAUCGGCAAGAACACCAGAGGCGAAGGCGGUUUGCUAGAACGGUCCUGACACUCAGGGACGAAAGCGUGGGGAGCAAAACGGAUUAGAUACCCGUGUAGUCCACGCCCUAAACGAUGGGUACUAGACAUUGGGAGUAUCGACCCUCUCAGUGUCGUUCACCUAAGUUAACACCUUAAGUACCCCGCCUGGGAAGUACGGUCGCAAGACUAAAACUCAAAGGAAUUGACGGGAGUCUGCACAAGCGGUGGAGCAUGUGGUUCAAUUCGACAACAAGCGAGGAACCUUACCAAGGCUUGACAUGGUAGUUUGUAGUUUCCUGGAAACAGGCAAUGACCGUCAAAUCGGAAGCUAUCACAGGUGCUGCAUGGUUGUCGUCAGCUCGUGUCGUGAGAUGUUAGGUUAAGUCCGCUAACGAGCGCAACCCCUAUGUCGUGUUCAAUUGACGCGACAAACUGCAGUCACGAAGACUGAGGAAGGCGGGGAUGACGUCAAAUCAGCAUGGCCCUUAUGCCUUGGGCUACACACGUGCUACAAUGGUGAGUUACAAAGGGGCGCGAAACGGUAACGUGGAGCAAAUCCCAUCAAAACUCACCUCAGUUCAGAUUGGGGUCUGCAACUCGACCCCAUGAAGAAGGAAUCGCUAGUAAACGCGCAUCAGCCUCGGCGCGUUGAAUACGUUCUCAGACUUUGUACACACCGCCCGUCAAGUCAAGCGAGCUGGGAGUUCCUGAAAGUCGGUUGUGCCGGCUCAAGGAAAGCCUAGUGAGAGGGACUAAGUCGUAACAAGGCAUGGGUAGCGGAAGCUGCUCAUG
Molecule: ribosomal RNA, 1472 nt
Filed under: Parcubacteria bacterium SCGC AAA011-N16
Lineage: Bacteria; Candidatus Parcubacteria
Description: bacterial SSU rRNA
Rfam family: Bacterial small subunit ribosomal RNA
Source: RNAcentral